This 696-nucleotide ribosomal RNA is filed under the name uncultured bacterium. Its description in RNAcentral is "bacterial SSU rRNA". It matches the Rfam family "Bacterial small subunit ribosomal RNA", at positions 32 to 715 of the family's 1533-position model. The record is from RNAcentral.
AACGCUAGCUACAGGCUUAACACAUGCAAGUCGAGGGGAAACGACAUCGAAAGCUUGCUUUUGAUGGGCGUCGACCGGCGCACGGGUGAGUAACGCGUAUCCAGCCUGCCCACCACUUGGGGAUAACCUUGCGAAAGUAAGACUAAUACCCAAUGAUAUCGCUAGAAGACAUCUGAAAGAGAUUAAAGAUUUAUCGGUGAUGGAUGGGGAUGCGUCUGAUUAGCUUGUUGGCGGGGUAACGGCCCACCAAGGCGACGAUCAGUAGGGGUUCUGAGAGGAAGGUCCCCCACAUUGGAACUGAGACACGGUCCAAACUCCUACGGGAGGCAGCAGUGAGGAAUAUUGGUCAAUGGGCGAGAGCCUGAACCAGCCAAGUAGCGUGCAGGAUGACGGCCCUAUGGGUUGUAAACUGCUUUUAUAAGGGAAUAAAGUUAGUCUCGUGAGACUUUUUGCAUGUACCUUAUGAAUAAGGACCGGCUAAUUCCGUGCCAGCAGCCGCGGUAAUACGGAAGGUCCGGGCGUUAUCCGGAUUUAUUGGGUUUAAAGGGAGCGUAGGCCGGAGAUUAAGCGUGUUGUGAAAUGUAGGCGCUCAACGUCUGCACUGCAGCGCGAACUGGUUUCCUUGAGUACGCACAAAGUGGGCGGAAUUCGUGGUGUAGCGGUGAAAUGCUUAGAUAUCACGAAGAACUCCGAUUG